Molecule: long non-coding RNA, 600 nt
Organism: Pomacea canaliculata
Lineage: Eukaryota; Metazoa; Mollusca; Gastropoda; Architaenioglossa; Ampullariidae
Exons: 2
Source: RefSeq, a predicted model, not a curated record
GUUUAUACCGUUGCGUGAAGGGAUGCCACUGUGAAAAUGUCAAAAUGUUUCGGCGCAAGACGAGUGGCGAACGACUCUCAUUCACGUCCUACACUGUUGGAGUCGGCAUUGCUAUUAUCUACAAAUCAUCACUUGCCAAACCUGUCUGCUGCAUUUGACACCAUUGACGACUCUGCUUCUUCAUAGACUACAUACCCUCUAUGGGAUUUCUGGACCUGCAGUAUCCUGGUUCAACUCCUGUCUUACUGAUAGGAUGCAAACUGUGUUUUUUGAUGGUCAAGCAUCUCGCCCUGCUUCACUUUCUUGUGGCAUCCCUCAAGGCUCAGUACACAGCCCACUUCUGUUUAUUCUGUAUAUGAAGCCACUUUCAUCUUGCAUCCAGUCUCACAACAUCAUUCAUCAAUCAUAUGCUGAUGGUACACAGCUGUACUGCUCCACUCCACUGGCUGUCUUGCUCUGCUACCACCACCAUAGAAGUCUGUAUUAAUCAAAUCAAAGACUGGAUGAUGACAAAUUCAAUGAUAAUAAAACGGAAGCCCUCCUAUGUUUGAGAAGAAAUCUAUGUUUUCUGCUGAGUAGUGGGUUUUCCUGGUGAUUUUG